UUCCAUUUCGAAGUCUCGAAAAGGAAAGAUCAAAUUCAUGUCUAAAUUUUUACUUUUGACUUGGAAACAAAAUCAAAAAAUUUAUUUCGGUUUUAAUUUGUGAUAAUUUUUUGGAUUAUUUUUGUGUUCGUUAAUUAAUGUUCUUACUUCUGAAGGAACAAUGCAAAUAAGUUUGCAAACAUUAAACAAGUUUCAAAUGGAGCUGACAUGAAAAGGAAAGAUGAGAAAAAACCGUUUCGAAUGCUGUAUUCUUUUUCCUUUUCCUGACGAACAUAUUUUGUUGAAGACUUUCAAAUGCUCUUGAGCCCAUGAAGAUAUUUUUUGUAACGUUAUUAAUUCGCAUUCGAUUGCGAAGCACUCAAAAUUUAAAGUCGUGCUAUGUGCUUUCGCAAAGAAGACGCAAAAAUAUAAUCAUAUACACAAUCCCAGAACUUCCGGCUAAAAAAGGAAACGACACUACGCAAAGCUUGGAUCGCUAUCCAAGGAAUUAGAAAUGGAUUAAUUGAAAGUGCCACAAAUAACACAAACUAUAUUUUUGAUACAACUUAUACGAGACAUUCAUCAUCAUUGCAUCACUGCCUGCUGUUCAAUCAGACUGCCUGCUAUACUUUCCACACUUUCAACUUUCAACACAAGGAAAUCUCAUAUAAUAUGAAUCCCACUUGUUUUUACACC
This is a long non-coding RNA of Drosophila albomicans, 675 nucleotides long. RefSeq lists it as uncharacterized. Lineage: Eukaryota; Metazoa; Arthropoda; Insecta; Diptera; Drosophilidae. The transcript has 2 exons. The record is from RefSeq and is a predicted model, not a curated record.